AGUGUGUGUUGUUCCCCUCCCUGUGUCCAUACAGAGCACCCCUUUCUCUCCAAGGAUCGCUGUGGCCUCUGUAAGCUCCCCUCAUAACUGCUCUGAACUGAGCACCCUGCUGAUGAGGGCUUCUUUCUUUGGAAUCCCAAUCGACCCCAUCCUGGAACAGUUCAGAGUACUCCCUUGUGGGAAUUCCCCCGCCGCUGCUUUUGGGGUGAUUCCAGCGUUGGGUUGGCUGGACAAAACAGCCUCGAAGCAUACUGCCCCAAAUCUGGUCCUUCUGAGUUUCUGAUUCCCUCACUCUUCAUCUCUUAUGACGCCUUCCUAAACAUUCCUGAGAGUUUCAAACAUUGUCUUUCAUUUGACUCAGGGAUUCAUCAUCCGCUUCCUGUUGAAAUAGUAAACGCCUCCACAUGGACUCACGGGUUCACCUCCUUCCGGUCUGAACAGUGAACUCCUCCGCAUCAACUCACCCAUUCACCCCUUCCGGUCUAAACAGUGAACGCCUCCGCAUGGACUCACGAGUUCACCUCCUUCCGGUCUAAACAGUGAACGCCUCCGCAUCGACUCACGGGUUCACCUCCUUCCGGUCUGAACAGUGAACUCCUCCGCAUGGACUCACGGGUUCACCUCCUUCCGGUCUGAACAGUGAACGCCUCCGCAUCGACUCACGGGUUCACCUCCUUCCGGUCUGAACAGUGAACUCCUCCGCAUGGACUCACGGGUUCACCUCCUUCCGGUCUGAACAGUGAACUCCUCCGCAUCGACUCACGGGUUCACCUCCUUCCGGUCUGAACAGUGAACUCCUCCGCAUGGACUCACGGGUUCACCUCCUUCCGGUCUGAACAGUGAACUCCGCAUCGACUCACGCGUUCACCUCCUUCCGGUCUAAAUGGUAAACUCCUCUGCAUUUUCUGUUCGGUUCUAUUUUGGUGGGGCCCACGCGUCAUCACAGAGUAUCUGGGAGCCCUGCCCUCUUGCAGAUGGGAAUGAAGGCCCAGGUGCUCUGGAGAGGUGACUCUCCUCUAGUUGUCUCGCUUCUCAGAAAGGAAACACUGGUUCUGUAAACCUGUUUGAGAAGAAAAGCUCGAGGUUUCUUGGCCUCUCUGCUUCUGGAGCCAGGGGAAAAAAUAGCCCCAGGCUGAAGACAGGAGGGACCAGAUUGCUGCUUGGUGAUGCGAUCUCACUGCAGAGGCAGCCAGGAGACCCUCCUGAGACGAAUCGGAGAGUCCAUGCUGCUUUUACACACAUCCUAGUUCUUUUAUAACUAGCCUUUUCCUAUUAACGGACAUCAUUCAAAAGCCAGUUUUAAGCAACAUAAAUAUUGAAAACAAUACUAUACUAUUUAGAAUUAAUUAUAAGUUUUGUUUUUAAAGCCUAAAUCUUUUAUUGUUGUUUGAACCCUGGGCACUGAAGCUAAUAAUGUAACUUUUCUCCCUUCUUUCUUCUUUGGCAUAGAUUUAAAGAACUGUUAGACUCAUUUAAAAUGCUAUUAGGCAUUUUAAAGAGUAAUUGUUAAAUGUGUUGUCUCUUGUGGGACUGGAAAUGUUCUGUUCUUAUCUGGCGCUGGUUACAUCCUGUUUUUCAUUUGGGAAAGUGCAUUGAGCUGGAAAUUUAUAUGUUCAAUUUCUGUAUGUAAAUUGUACUUCAGUAAAAAUUUUCAAAAAAGUG
This 1662-nucleotide long non-coding RNA is filed under the name Homo sapiens (human). RNAcentral's name for it is "HSALNT0324466". The record is from RNAcentral. Lineage: Eukaryota; Metazoa; Chordata; Mammalia; Primates; Hominidae.